GACGAACGCUGGCGGCGUGCUUAACACAUGCAAGUCGAACGGAAAGGCCCUGCUUUUGUGGGGUGCUCGAUUGGCGAACGGGUGAGUAACACGUGAGUAACCUGCCCUUGACUUUGGGAUAACUUCAGGAAACUGGGGCUAAUACCGCAUAUGAUCUCCUGCUGCAUGUUGGGGGUUGGAAAGUUUCGGCGGUUGGGGAUGGACUCGCGGCUUAUCAGCUUGUUUGUGGGGUAGUGGCUUACCAAGGCUUUGACGGGUAGCCGGCCUGAGAGGGUGACCGGCGACAUUGGUACUGAGAUACGGACCAGAAUCCUACGGUAGGCAGCAGUGGGGAAUAUUGCACAAUGGGCGGAAGCCUGAUGCAGCAACGCCGCGUGCGGGAUGACGGCCUUCGGGUUGUAAACCGCUUUCGACUGUGACGAAGCGUGAGUGACGGUAAUGGGUAAAGAAGCACCGGCUAACUACGUG
RNAcentral lists this ribosomal RNA (468 nucleotides) under uncultured bacterium. RNAcentral's name for it is "partial 16S ribosomal RNA". It matches the Rfam family "Bacterial small subunit ribosomal RNA", at positions 28 to 507 of the family's 1533-position model. The record is from RNAcentral.